RNAcentral lists this ribosomal RNA (928 nucleotides) under uncultured bacterium. RNAcentral's name for it is "bacterial SSU rRNA". It matches the Rfam family "Bacterial small subunit ribosomal RNA", at positions 56 to 977 of the family's 1533-position model. The record is from RNAcentral.
UGCAGUCGAACGGCAGCACGGACUUCGGUCUGGUGGCGAGUGGCGAACGGGUGANUAAUAUAUCGGAACGUAUCCAAUAAUGGGGGAUAACUAAUCGAAAGGUUGGCUAAUACCGCAUACGCCCUACGGGGGAAAGCUAGGGACCUUCGGGCCUGGCGUUAAUGGAGCGGCCGAUAUCUGAUUAGCUAGUUGGUGGGGUAAAGGCCCACCAAGGCGACGAUCAGUAGCUGGUCUGAGAGGACGACCAGCCACACUGGAACUGAGACACGGUCCAGACUCCUACGGGAGGCAGCAGUGGGGAAUUUUGGACAAUGGGCGAAAGCCUGAUCCAGCCAUUCCGCGUGAGUGAAGAAGGCCUUCGGGUUGUAAAGCUCUUUCGCAAGGGAAGAAAGAUUACUCUCUAACAUAGAGUGAUUAUGACGGUACCUUGAUAAGAAGCACCGGCUAACUACGUGCCAGCAGCCGCGGUAAUACGUAGGGUGCGAGCGUUAAUCGGAAUUACUGGGCGUAAAGCGUGCGCAGGCGGUUUUGUAAGUCAGAUGUGAAAUCCCCGAGCUCAACUUGGGAACUGCGUUUGAAACUACAAGACUAGAAUAUGUCAGAGGGGGGUAGAAUUCCACGUGUAGCAGUGAAAUGCGUAGAGAUGUGGAGGAAUACCAAUGGCGAAGGCAGCCCCCUGGGAUAAUAUUGACGCUCAUGCACGAAAGCGUGGGGAGCAAACAGGAUUAGAUACCCUGGUAGUCCACGCCCUAAACGAUGUCUACUAGUUGUUGGUGGAGUAAAAUCCAUGAGUAACGCAGCUAACGCGUGAAGUAGACCGCCUGGGGAGUACGAUCGCAAGAUUAAAACUCAAAUGAAUUGACGGGGGCCCGCACAAGCGGNGGNAUUAUGUGGAUUAAUUCGAUGCNACGCGAAAAANCCUUACCUG